AUUGAGCGCUGGCGGCAGGCCUAACACAUGCAAGUCGAGCGGAUGAAGGGAGCUUGCUCCUGGACUCAGCGGCGGACGGGUGAGUAAUGCCUAGGAAUCUGCCUGGUAGUGGGGGAUAACGUCCGGAAACGGGCGCUAAUACCGCAUACGUCCUGAGGGAGAAAGUGGGGGAUCUUCGGACCUCACGCUAUCAGAUGAGCCUAGGUCGGAUUAGCUAGUUGGUGGGGUAAAGGCCUACCAAGGCGACGAUCCGUAACUGGUCUGAGAGGAUGAUCAGUCACACUGGAACUGAGACACGGUCCAGACUCCUACGGGAGGCAGCAGUGGGGAAUAUUGGACAAUGGGCGAAAGCCUGAUCCAGCCAUGCCGCGUGUGUGAAGAAGGUCUUCGGAUUGUAAAGCACUUUAAGUUGGGAGGAAGGGCAGUAAGUUAAUACCUUGCUGUUUUGACGUUACCAACAGAAUAAGCACCGGCUAACUUCGUG
RNAcentral lists this ribosomal RNA (484 nucleotides) under uncultured bacterium. Its description in RNAcentral is "partial 16S ribosomal RNA". It matches the Rfam family "Bacterial small subunit ribosomal RNA", at positions 30 to 507 of the family's 1533-position model. The record is from RNAcentral.